UGAAUAAAGCCAAAACGAUUACACACUCCGAAAAGCUAGGCACGGAAGCUGCAUUGGCCAUGCUAAAGCACACAGUAAUUCGCAAAACUCUAAUCAAACCAACCAUUAAAGAACACACUGAUAGACCCAAAAAGCUGAUGGGAACCAAAGCUUAGCCAAAGCACUACACCUCAAAAACAGAUACCUGCUAGAACAUCCACUGGUAUGAUACGCAUCCCUUCAAAAUGAUACACAUAUCUGCACUUAGCACAACUUCUGAUAGUUCUACAAACACAGCUGAAGCAGGAAAAGCAGUCCAACAACACAGCUUCUGAUAGUUCUAAAAACAGUGGAACAUUACAUACACCUAAGCAAGCACAAUCAAAACCUACUGACACAGGUGCUAGCGAAACGGCCUCUUACCCCGCUAAAUAGUGGAUAGGAUCCCAAGACCACUAAUAAGUUUAUUUUUGAACAAGCCCCAAGACCACUAAUAAGUGACAAGAAUGUUAUGCCAAAUUCCUUAAAUACCAACUCCACGAUGUAACCUUAACGAGUAAAUUGGUUACUUAUUUCUAUUAGUUUAUAUAUCAAUAUGGCAGCAGAAUUAGAGUUUGUGUAGAAAUUAUGUUCCAAUAGAAAAUCAGGUGUUUCCUAAUAUGCACCAAAUUCUACUACUCUUGGUAACCUAAGCUAUGAGCUGUAAUCAGCAUUUUGCUUCAAUCCAAAUCUACAUUAUGUGAAGAUGUCAUCUCAAUUGAUUUGCAAUAAUAAGAAAAAACAAUAUUGCAAAUCAUAUCUAAGUAAAACUAGAACUUGCUACAAUAUUUUGGAUGGUUUGUCCAAGAUAAAUUAGUUUACAAUGAUGAUACUUGUCCAAUCAUAUAAGUUAAAUUAACAAAGAGAUGACAACUAUUGCAAUUGGUUAUGCAUCCACAAUUAGUAGUUUAAGAAAUUAGUAUAAGAAACAUUUAUAACUUGAAAACUUCUAGUUCGUAAUUAUCAAUUAUGCACCUCUGUGACGCACACCUCGGGCCGGGUGGAUCAAUCUGAGCUAGGUUAUGAAGAUGAUGAAAACGAUGAUGAUGCACCUGUGUGAUGCACACCUCUAUGAUGUAAGUCACGAAUUCAAAACACUCUUAGAAUUGGGUAUUGGGCCUAACUCAACCAAUGACCCAAUCAAAAAUUGAUAGCAGGCGGCCUAGCUGACCGUGGAGGAGGCUCUGUUACCAUCUUAGGAUUGAGAGUUGGGACUAA
RNAcentral lists this long non-coding RNA (1236 nucleotides) under Trifolium pratense (red clover). Its description in RNAcentral is "long non-coding RNA (TPRA_LNC002745)". Lineage: Eukaryota; Viridiplantae; Streptophyta; Magnoliopsida; Fabales; Fabaceae. The record is from RNAcentral.